This 513-nucleotide ribosomal RNA is filed under the name uncultured bacterium. RNAcentral describes it as "bacterial SSU rRNA". It matches the Rfam family "Bacterial small subunit ribosomal RNA", at positions 8 to 518 of the family's 1533-position model. The record is from RNAcentral.
AGAGUUUGAUUCUGGCUCAGGAUGAACGCUGGCGGCGUGCCUAAUACAUGCAAGUCGAACGAGGGUGCUUGCACCCUAGUGGCGAACGGGUGAGUAACACGUAGGUAACCUGCCCUUUAGUUGGGAUACCCAGAGGAAACUUUGGUUAAUACCGGAUAUGAAUUCGAGAGGCAUCUCUUGAAUUUGAAAGGAGCGUUUGCUCCGCUUUAGGAUGGACCUGCGGCGCAUUAGCUAGUUGGUGAGAUAACAGCCCACCAAGGCGAGGAUGCGUAUCCGAUCUGAGAGGAUGACCGGACACAUUGGAACUGAGACACGGUCCAAACUCCUACGGGAGGCAGCAGUAAGGAGUUUUCGGCAAUGGGGGAAACCCUGACCGAGCAACGCCGCGUGAGUGAUGACGGCCCUAUGGGUUGUAAAGCUCUGUUGUAAGGGACGAAUGAUGGGGUUAGGAAAUGAGCUCCAUUUGACGGUACCUUACCAGAAAGCCACGGCUAACUACGUGCCAGCCGCCGC